This 616-nucleotide ribosomal RNA is filed under the name uncultured beta proteobacterium. RNAcentral describes it as "partial 16S ribosomal RNA". Lineage: Bacteria; Pseudomonadati; Pseudomonadota; Betaproteobacteria. The record is from RNAcentral.
UAUGGUCGACCUGCAGGCGGCCGCGAAUUCACUAGUGAUUCGUAUUACCGCGGCUGCUGGCACAUAGUUAGCCGGUGCUUCUUAUUCCGGUACCGUCAUCCACACAGGGUAUUAACCCAUGCGUUUUCUUCCCGGCUGAAAGAGCUUUACAACCCGAAGGCCUUCUUCACUCACGCGGCAUGGCUGGAUCAGGCUUGCGCCCGUUGUCCAAAAUUCCCCACUGCUGCCUCCCGUAGGAGUCUGGACCGUGUCUCAGUUCCAGUGUGGCGGAUCAUCCUCUCAGACCCGCUACAGAUCGUCGCCUUGGUGAGCCUUUACCUCACCAACUAGCUAAUCUGAUAUCGGCCGCUCAAUCAGCGCAAGGUCUUGCGAUCCCCUGCUUUCCUGCUCACAGAAUAUGCGGUAUUAGCGUAACUUUCGCUACGUUAUCCCCCACUGAAAGGUACGUUCCGAUACAUUACUCACCCGUUCGCCACUCGCCACCAGGAUUGCUCCCGUGCUGCCGUUCGACUUGCAUGUGUAAGGCAUGCCGCCAGCGUUCAAUCUGAGCCAUGAUCAAACUCUAAUCGAAUUCCCGCGGCCGCCAUGGCGGCCGGGAGCAUGCGACGUCGGGCCC